This 447-nucleotide ribosomal RNA is filed under the name uncultured bacterium. RNAcentral's name for it is "bacterial SSU rRNA". It matches the Rfam family "Bacterial small subunit ribosomal RNA", at positions 330 to 793 of the family's 1533-position model. The record is from RNAcentral.
UCCAGACUCCUACGGGAGGCAGCAGUGGGGGAUAUUGCACAAUGGGGGAAACCCUGAUGCAGCGACGCCGCGUGGGUGAAGAAGUAUUUCGGUAUGUAAAGCCCUAUCAGCAGGGAAGAAAGAAGACGGUACCUGACUAAGAAGCCCCGGCUAACUACGUGCCAGCAGCCGCGGUAAUACGUAGGGGGCGAGCGUUAUCCGGAUUCACUGGGUGUAAAGGGAGCGUAGACGGCCGUGCAAGCCAGGAGUGAAAGCCCGGGGCCCAACCCCGGGACUGCUCUUGGAACUGUGCGGCUGGAGUGCGGGAGGGGCAGGCGGAAUUCCUGGUGUAGCGGUGAAAUGCGUAGAUAUCAGGAGGAACACCGGCGGCGAAGGCGGCCUGCUGGACCGCGACUGACGUUGAGGCUCGAAAGCGUGGGGAGCGAACAGGAUUAGAUACCCUUGUAA